AGUGACAAUAAAUAACAAUAUAGGGCUCUUUUGGGUCUUAUAAUUGGAAUGAGUACAAUUUAAAUCCCUUAACGAGGAUCAAUUGGAGGGCAAGUCUGGUGCCAGCAGCCGCGGUAAUUCCAGCUCCAAUAGCGUAUAUUAAAGUUGUUGCCGUUAAAAAGCUCGUAGUCGAACUUCGGCCUCUGCCGCCCGGUCCGCCUAUUUGGGUGUGUACUGGAGCGGUGGAGGCUUACCUCGUGGUGAGCAAUCAUACCCUUCACUGGGCGUGGUUGGGAACCAUGAUUUUUACUUUGAAAAAAUUAGAGUGUUCAAAGCAGGCUUACGCCCGAAUACAUUAGCAUGGAAUAAUAAAAUAGGACGUGCGGUUCUAUUUUGUUGGUUUCUAGGAUCGCCGUAAUGAUUAAUAGGGAUAGUUGGGGGCAUUCGUAUUCAAUUGCUAGAGGUGAAAUUCUUGGAUUUAUUGAAGACGAACUACUGCGAAAGCAUUUGCCAAGGAUGUUUUCAUUGAUCAAGAACGAAGGUUAGGGGAUCGAAAACGAUCAGAUACCGUUGUAGUCUUAACAGUAAACGAUGCCGACUAGGGAUCGGACGAGGAUUUUUAAUGACUCGUUCGGCACCUGAAGAGAAAUCUUUAAGUCUAGGUUCGGGGGGGAGUAUGGUCGCAAGGCUGAAACUUAAAGGAAUUGACGGAAGGGCACCACCAGGUGUGGAGCCUGCGGCUUAAUUUGACUCAACACGGGGAAACUCACCAGGUCCAGACACGACAAGGAUUGACAGAUUGAUAGCUCUUUCUUGAUUUCGUGGUUGGUGGUGCAUGGCCGUUCUUAGUUGGUGGAGUGAUUUGUCUGGUUAAUUCCGAUAACGA
This 865-nucleotide ribosomal RNA is filed under the name uncultured Cyphobasidiales. RNAcentral's name for it is "SSU rRNA". It matches the Rfam family "Eukaryotic small subunit ribosomal RNA", at positions 466 to 1334 of the family's 1831-position model. Lineage: Eukaryota; Fungi; Basidiomycota; Cystobasidiomycetes; Cyphobasidiales. The record is from RNAcentral.